AAAAUAAUGGAAAGAAAAACUAAUAAAAUAACUUGGUAAAAUAAAUAACAGUCACGCGAUCUGAUCCCCCAGCAGCACACGAUCUGAUCAUCUGUAAGGGCUGAACUGCUUCAAUCUUCAAGGGCCACGUCUGCAUCAAAAAUUGCAGAGAUAUAUUUUUCGCUGAAAACAAUGUAAAUCUACAACCCGGAUCCUGUACGUACUCAGUUUCCUUAAAACAUAUUCACCCUUCACUGUAGGCACUUAAGGUUUAGUUUGAAUGUCUGUCUUCAAGAUACAACGAAAUAACCAGUAAAAUUUGAGCACUUCAAUUUCUAACCCGACGAAAUGAAUUCAUGUCAGAACAGCACCAUCAAGACUUAGACAUAAAUGAAAAAUUUUAUGAUAACUCGAACAAAAAAUUAUGCAGAGAUUUGGAAUUGGAAAUGAUGAAGUUUUCUAGUGUUGAAUGGUGGAUAGUUUGAAAAUGAAGGGUUUAAUUUGAACUUCUACUUGUUUCUUUUUUUUUCGCCCCCAAUAAUAUUUCUCUCCAUCCAUGUUUGGGUGUUUUCCAU
This 554-nucleotide long non-coding RNA is filed under the name Olea europaea subsp. europaea. Lineage: Eukaryota; Viridiplantae; Streptophyta; Magnoliopsida; Lamiales; Oleaceae. The record is from RNAcentral.